Capsicum annuum is the source of this 3909-nucleotide RNA transcript. RefSeq lists it as uncharacterized. NCBI's taxonomy places the organism in Eukaryota, Viridiplantae, Streptophyta, Magnoliopsida, Solanales, Solanaceae. The transcript is spliced from 6 exons. The record is from RefSeq and is a predicted model, not a curated record.
UUGCCCUAAUUUGUAUAUUGAUUGAUCUAUUUAUUUCUCUUGGGGAACUCCAGCGUGCUUUCCAGAUAGGUUAUAGCUCAUAUAAUAAUGAUGUUCAUUUCUUUCUCUCUCUCUCUCUCUUUUUUUUUUUUAAGGAAAUUGGCUGGUUCUAUCUCACAUGGACCUCUCCUUUACCUUCUCAUACAGGGUAAAAAUUAUUCAAGUGUGCUGCAAUAGAUUCCUCAAAAUAAACUAAAAACCUGCAAAUUAUAAUAUCGUACCCGAUAUGGAUACACAUCCACAUGAUAUUCAUUUCUAGAUCCUUAACAUAACUGCGGGAUAUCAGGAAAUUGGAAUUAAAUAUAAUAGACCCACUCAUAGCAGGAGCUUUAGUGCACUGGACUGCCUACUGCCCUUUUAAAGGUGGAAAAUCUCUUACGAUCAUCGGUUUCAAUAGAUGGGGGCGCACUUGGAUUGGAUAAGGGUUUUGAGCUCAUCAUGGAGGGUGAAAGUUUACCGGUGUCAUGUGAAAAGGAACUCAAGUUUACAUUUGCCCUGCAUGUUGUUGAAUGGAAGGAGAGGAUUCUGCAUCAAUAUCAACAAGCGGCGAAGAGAGGGUCAUCAGUGGCAAACACGAGGUACCUCAGACGCUUUCCCCGCGACACAGAACAAAAUAUGUGGCAAUGUCUUCUUAUCUCUCUAUCCUUCUCUUCCGUUAAUCAGGAAAAACUGAAGUUGUUUCCCUUUUGUGUCCAGUAUGCUUUUUGUUAAAAUUGUUUCAUAUUAUAUGCCAUCUUAGUUUUGAUAAGCUUCUUAUUGUGGGUUAAUUUUUCGGUUUUACUUGAGAUUUUUUAUUCUAAUGGAAGAAAGAAGACCCGAUUCGCGAAUUUUAAUUGAGGUUUUUUUAAUUUUACUACAGUAUGCAAUUUCCACUUUUCAAAACAUCCUGCAGCUUCUUCUCCUUCUGCAUUUCGUGAAAAAUCAUGUCACCGUACAUUCCAAACAUCAAAUCUAAAUAUACGCUAACAACUUAAAACUUUGAGAUAAUAAAGUCAGCACGGUUCAAUAGAUGUAGCCUAAGAAACUAACCUUUUCAAGAUUUUUUCUGAUCUCCAGUAAAAGCUCCGACUCCUCUUGUUCUUGAACCUCUGUUGGAUGAAUUCCCUUUUGACCUUUCGCCAUCACGCUAUAGCAAUCUUUAUCAGCUCUGAUAAAUCGCCAAAAUAUUCGUAUUGAUUCUUCCAGUAUCUCCGCAAGCAUGUCACUUGUAAUUGAAUAGUCAGUUUUCUCUUUUGUUCUUGCCUUGUUUCUGUUCUUUACUUGUAAUCUGCAUGUUUAUUUUCGAGUUUAAAUACACUAGAUUGUCUCUAACAACAAUCAGCAACAAAAGUCGAAAAGAUACUAACCUCAAAUAACAGGAACUUGAAGAAGAUUACUAAGAUCAUAUCGGCUCUUGAUAAAAUAUUGAACUCUAGGCCCUUGAAAAGGUUCAUUUUCUAUAAAUCUUUGCAUGAGCACUAGAAACUGUUGAAACUCUCCAGCAACUUCAUUAUAUUUUCUGAUCCCACGUGGAUCAGAAUCCCACAAAUUUAAAAAGCUUUCAUAUAUUGCCAGUGCAAAAAUUCCCAAGAAAGGCACAUCUGGCCAACAUAUAUCACUUCAAAAUCACUCUGCAAUUCUUUGAUAAACUUAACCAUUGGAUCAAAGUCAUGACUUUUAUGUUUGAAUAGCCUAAUAUUUUGUGAGAGAAGGGAUUUUAGUGUUGGACCUGAAGAUUUCUGGUUGAAGACUAAUUGCAGUGGAUCUUUUAGUGGAUCUUUCUGCAGAUAACCUGUCAAACAUUUCGGAUUAGAGCAGCUAAAGAUUGAAAAAAGGAUUUAAGUUACAUACACCGACAUUAUUAAAAGAAGUGAGAGUAUUUCGCGAAGCAACUAGACAAACAUUUUUGGAGAAUCAAACUAUGAUUUCAGUCAAUAGCUAAAAAGUAAAUUAUAAUUUUAGGUCAAGAUUAUCUUAAUCAUUGUCUGUUGUUGGCCAACAAACUUAUAGGUAUGAAUUAUCAAAGCAUAAAAAGCUUAGCUUUCCAGAUAUGAUCAUACACAAAAGGUUAGCAUAGACAUUUUUAUAUUCGAACAUUUUUGGAGAAUCAAACUAUGAUUUCAGUCAAUAGCUAAAAAGUAAAUUAUAAUUUUAGGUCAAGAUUAUCUUAAUCAUUGUCUGUUGUUGGCCAACAAACUUAUAGGUAUGAAUUACCAAAGUAUAAAAAGCUUAGCUUUCCAGAUAUGAUCAUACACAAAAGGUUAGCAUAGACAUUUUUAUAUUCUUUUAUUUGUGUAUUCUGUUUAGACAGAAUUAAAAGAAGAAACAUGUACACACUUCUAGCAAGUACAGUAGCACUAUAUAAUUAGGACAUCUUGUAACUUAGUGUAAACUUCCUCUUGUUCAUAUUAAUAAUCAUUAAAAACAACAUUUCUGACUUAUUCAAAUGGAAUAAACAGUCUUAAAAAUGUAUAAUGUGUAUUGUCUAUCGGAAAUAACCUCUCUACCGUUUCUUACAUCAUGGAUCCAAUGCAUUGAAUUUCAUGUUAUUAUAAGUUUCAGGAGCCUAAGCUAACCAGAUUUUGUGGGUCCUGUAUUAAACUUUAAUUAUAGGUGAGCAACUUUUUUUCCUCUUUACACUCGAUUACUAAUUGUUUGAAAGCGAUGAAACAUGAUGAUAACCGUGGACACAAGUCCUGGUGUACCUACUAAUUAAAAAACUCAUCAUCUAAUAACUUAUUAGCCAAAUUUUACUCAAAUUUGUUACUGUAACUAAAAUCAAAAUCUGUGCCAACUUUUUCCAGAUCAAAAAACUAAAAAACUUUCUGUUGUUUACUUUUGCAGAAGCAAAUGCUGCCUCUUGAAGGUGUCAAAACACAAUUGACUCGAAAGACAUUCAGCAUUCAAGUCAAGAAAUCAUUUUUAAAUACUACUAAUGCAAGUACUGGAAAGCUGAUCACUGUAUCUUUCAUGGAAAAGGAGAAUACAGUCAACACAAGACCCUCACGCAUUGCAAUGGACAUUGAAGAGAGUGGUAAAAGAAAAAUAGAGAAUGGUGGCACAGGCACAACAAACAAUCAGGGUGCAUCAAAUCGAGCAAGAACUUCUCGUGUCAGACAUGCUUCAGAGGUGAAAACUCCACCUCUGAAAAACUACCACAAGUGAAACAUCUUUUGGUCGCUACUUUUGAACUAUGGUUGGAGCCAUUUUUUGCUGCAUCCUUAGGAAUACAUCUGACACUGCAAUGUUUAUAUCAUAUAUAUACCGAAGAUGACUGCUUUCCAUAUUCUCUUUUGUAAAUGUUCCAAUCACGCGUUUGAAGAGCUCAAUCUAAGAAUGCAUCUCCUCUUUUUUUCGAUCCAUGCAAAUAAUAUAUUCAAUACCAUCUUCUAAAAGUUGGCUCCUUAAUGUUCAUAUAUAUAUAUAUAUAUAUCCGCCUGUGUGUGUAUCUCUCAACUCAUUUCUUGAGGCAAUACUCCCAACAAGGUUUUUUUCAUUCUCAGCUACUCAAACUUGAAACCUGUAAUUAAAAGCUGCUACCCAUGUUGUAAUCCUUCUAUAUGUUUCUUUCUUUGGUUUAAAGGAUUACUCGGGCACAAUCCAAUUAAUGUGACGUUUCUUUGACCUUGAGUUCAUCAAUUUGUAUUCGCCCCAGAAAUCAAGAUGUUAUAAGGAUGUUUUCGGACAAAUGCAUUCUCACAGAAGACUCGCCUUUAAAAGUUACAGACAAGUGAUGUGGUUAUUACAAUGUUAUCGUCAUCAAACCAUGUGAGAUUUGCAUACCAUCUUUAUAGCUCUUAUUAUAUCACUCACUUUCUCAUAUUUCCGAGGCUAAUUAAUUAUCCUGGAUCCUUCAUCAUUGAUGUCAAUGUAUCCCUGACAUUGUUAUUA